GAUGAACGCUAGCGAUAGGCUUAACACAUGCAAGUCGAGGGGCAGCAUGGUCUUAGCUUGCUAAGACUGAUGGCGACCGGCGCACGGGUGCGUAACGCGUAUGCAACUUGCCUCACAGAGGGGGAUAACCCGUCGAAAGACGGACUAAUACCGCGUACACUCCAUCUUGGGCAUCCAAGGUAGAGGAAAUGAAAUUCGCUGUGAGAUAGGCAUGCGUCCCAUUAGCUAGUUGGUGAGGUAACGGCUCACCAAGGCGACGAUGGGUAGGGGAACUGAGAGGUUGAACCCCCACACUGGUACUGAGACACGGACCAGACUACGACGGGAGGCAGCAGUGAGGAAUAUUGGUCAAUGGGCGAGAGCCUGAACCAGCCAAGUCGCGUGAGGGAUGACUGUCUUAUGGAUUGUAAACUUCUUUUAUACGGGAAUAACAAGAGUCACGUGUGACUCCCUGCAUGUACCGUAUGAAUAAGCAUCGGCUAACUCCGUG
This 490-nucleotide ribosomal RNA is filed under the name uncultured bacterium. RNAcentral describes it as "partial 16S ribosomal RNA". It matches the Rfam family "Bacterial small subunit ribosomal RNA", at positions 28 to 507 of the family's 1533-position model. The record is from RNAcentral.